Molecule: ribosomal RNA, 655 nt
Filed under: uncultured bacterium
Lineage: Bacteria
Description: bacterial SSU rRNA
Rfam family: Bacterial small subunit ribosomal RNA
Source: RNAcentral
UCGCGGCCUAUCAGCUUGUUGGUGGGGUAACGGCCUACCAAGGCUUCGACGGGUAGCUGGUCUGAGAGGACGAUCAGCUGGAUUGGGACUGAGAUACGGCCCAGACUCCUACAGGGGGCAGCAAUUAGGAAUCUUGCACAAUGGCCGAAAGGCUGACGCAGCGACGCCGCGUGAGGGAUGACGGCCUUCGGAUUGCAAACCUCUGUUGCCCGGGACGAAUGCCUCUCUUUGGAGAGGGUGACGGUACCGGGUGAGGAAGCACCGGCUAACUCUGUGCCAGCAGCCGCGGUAAUACAGAGGGUGCGAGCGUUGUCCGGAAUCACUGGGCGUAAAGGGCGCGUAGGCGGUUGCUUAAGCGUGUGGUGAAAGCCCGGGGCUCAACCCCGGGUCGGCCAUGCGAACUGGGCGACUGGAGCCGAUCAGAGGCAGGCGGAAUUCCGGGUGUAGCGGUGGAAUGCGUAGAGAUCCGGAAGAACACCGGUGGCGAAGGCGGCCUGCUGGGAUCGAGCUGACGCUGAGGCGCGACAGCGUGGGGAGCAAACAGGAUUAGAUACCCUGGUAGUCCACGCCGUAAACGAUGGGCACUAGAUGCUUGGGGGAGCGACCCCCUGAGUGUCGGCGCUAACGCAUUAAGUGCCCCGCCUGGGGAGUACGG